UGGGCUAGACAACGACGGUCCCCGAAGGGAAAACCCCAUCUCUGGGGUGGGCCGUCGUUGUCUAGCCCAGGUAAGGUUCUUCGCGUUGCGUCGAAUUGAACCACAUGCUCCACCGCUUGUGCGGGCCCCCGUCAAUUCCUUUGAGUUUUAACCUUGCGGCCGUAGUCCCCAGGCGGAGCACUUAAUGCGUUAGCGGCGGCACCGCAGGGGUCAAUACCCGCGACACCUAGUGCUCAUCGUUUACAGCGUGGACUAC
Molecule: unclassified non-coding RNA, 256 nt
Filed under: uncultured Desulfarculaceae bacterium
Lineage: Bacteria; Pseudomonadati; Thermodesulfobacteriota; Desulfarculia; Desulfarculales; Desulfarculaceae
Description: contains 16S-23S intergenic spacer region
Source: RNAcentral